RNAcentral lists this ribosomal RNA (448 nucleotides) under uncultured Anaerolineaceae bacterium. Its description in RNAcentral is "bacterial SSU rRNA". It matches the Rfam family "Bacterial small subunit ribosomal RNA", at positions 919 to 1382 of the family's 1533-position model. Lineage: Bacteria; Bacillati; Chloroflexota; Anaerolineae; Anaerolineales; Anaerolineaceae. The record is from RNAcentral.
ACCCGCACAAGCAGCGGAGCGUGUGGUUUAAUUCGUUGCUAACACGAAGAACCUUACCUGGGUUUGACAUAUAGGUUGUAGGGAACUGAAAAGGGACCGACCCUUCGGGGAGCCUAUACAGGUGUUGCAUGGCUGUCGUCAGCUCGUGUCGUGAGAUGUUCGGUUAAGUCCGCUAACGAGCGCAACCCUCGUCGUAUGUUAUAUGUGUCAUACGAGACUGCCGGUAAAAAGCGGAGGAGGUGGGAUGAUGUCAAGUCAGCAUGGCCUUUAUAUCCUGGGCUACACACACGCUACAAUGGCCAACACAAUAGGUUGCUAAGCCGCGAGGUGGCGCCAAUCCAUAAAGUUGGUCUCAGUUCAGAUUGUAGGCUGCAACCCGCCUGCAUGAAGAUGGAGUUGCUAGUAACCGCAGGUCAGCUAUACUGCGGUGAAUACGUUCCCGGGGCUU